RNAcentral lists this ribosomal RNA (253 nucleotides) under uncultured bacterium. RNAcentral's name for it is "partial 16S ribosomal RNA". It matches the Rfam family "Bacterial small subunit ribosomal RNA", at positions 524 to 776 of the family's 1533-position model. The record is from RNAcentral.
UACGUAUGGAGCAAGCGUUAUCCGGAUUUACUGGGUGUAAAGGGAGCGCAGGCGGCUUUGCAAGUCUGAUGUGAAAGGCCGGGGCUCAACCCCGGGACUGCAUUGGAAACUGUAAAGCUAGAGUGCCGGAGAGGUAAGCGGAAUUCCUAGUGUAGCGGUGAAAUGCGUAAAUAUUAGGAGGAACACCAGUGGCGAAGGCGGCUUACUGGACGGCAACUGACGCUGAGGCUCGAAAGCGUGGGGAGCAAACAGG